This 93-nucleotide ribosomal RNA is filed under the name Klebsiella pneumoniae. Its description in RNAcentral is "partial 23S ribosomal RNA". The stretch from base 1 to 81 matches the Rfam family "Bacterial large subunit ribosomal RNA", at positions 2845 to 2925 of the family's 2925-position model. The record is from RNAcentral. Lineage: Bacteria; Pseudomonadati; Pseudomonadota; Gammaproteobacteria; Enterobacterales; Enterobacteriaceae.
CGAUGACGUUGAUAGGCCGGGUGUGUAAGCGCAGCGAUGCGUUGAGCUAACCGGUACUAAUGAACCGUGAGGCUUAACCUUACAACGCCGAAG